GACGAACGCUGGCGGCGUGCUUAACACAUGCAAGUCGAACGGAAAGGCCCUGCUUUUGUGGGGUUCUCGAGUGGCGAACGGGUGAGUAACACGUGAGUAACCUGCCCUUGACUUUGGGAUAACUUCAGGAAACUGGGGCUAAUACCGGAUAGGAGCUCCUGCUGCAUGGUGGGGGUUGGAAAGUUUCGGCGGUUGGGGAUGGACUCGCGGCUUAUCAGCUUGUUGGUGGGGUAGUGGCUUACCAAGGCUUUGACGGGUAGCCGGCCUGAGAGGGUGACCGGCCACAUUGGGACUGAGAUACGGCCCAGACUCCUACGGGAGGCAGCAGUGGGGAAUAUUGAACAAUGGGCGGAAGCCUGAUGCAGCAACGCCGCGUGCGGGAUGACGGCCUUCGGGUUGUAAACCGCUUUCGCCUGUGACGAAGCGUGAGUGACGGUAAUGGGUAAAGAAGCACCGGCUAACUACGUG
RNAcentral lists this ribosomal RNA (468 nucleotides) under uncultured bacterium. RNAcentral's name for it is "partial 16S ribosomal RNA". It matches the Rfam family "Bacterial small subunit ribosomal RNA", at positions 28 to 507 of the family's 1533-position model. The record is from RNAcentral.